AUUGAACGCUGGCGGCAUGCCUUACACAUGCAAGUCGAACGGCAGCACGGGAGCAAUCCUGGUGGCGAGUGGCGAACGGGUGAGUAAUAUAUCGGAACGUGCCCAGUAGUGGGGGAUAACUGCUCGAAAGAGCAGCUAAUACCGCAUGAGACCUGAGGGUGAAAGCGGGGGAUCGCAAGACCUCGCGCUAUUGGAGCGGCCGAUAUCAGAUUAGCUAGUUGGUGGGUAAAGGCCUACCAAGGCAACGAUCUGUAGUUGGUCUGAGAGGACGACCAGCCACACUGGGACUGAGACACGGCCCAGACUCCUACGGGAGGCAGCAGUGGGGAAUUUUGGACAAUGGGCGCAAGCCUGAUCCAGCAAUG
This 365-nucleotide ribosomal RNA is filed under the name uncultured bacterium. RNAcentral's name for it is "bacterial SSU rRNA". It matches the Rfam family "Bacterial small subunit ribosomal RNA", at positions 30 to 396 of the family's 1533-position model. The record is from RNAcentral.